CGCCUUCAUGAAGCCGGAAUUGCUAGUAAUGGCAGGUCAGCAUACUGCCGUGAAUACGUUCCCGGGCCUUGUACACACCGCCCGUCACACCAUGAGAGUUGGGAAUACCCGAAGCCUGUGAGCUAACUAUAUGAGGCAGCAGUCGAAGGUAGAAUCAAUGAUUGGGGUGAAGUCGUAACAAGGUAGC
RNAcentral lists this ribosomal RNA (187 nucleotides) under uncultured bacterium. RNAcentral describes it as "partial 16S ribosomal RNA". It matches the Rfam family "Bacterial small subunit ribosomal RNA", at positions 1313 to 1500 of the family's 1533-position model. The record is from RNAcentral.